Gadus macrocephalus (Pacific cod) is the source of this 513-nucleotide long non-coding RNA. RefSeq lists it as uncharacterized. The transcript is spliced from 2 exons. Lineage: Eukaryota; Metazoa; Chordata; Actinopteri; Gadiformes; Gadidae. The record is from RefSeq and is a predicted model, not a curated record.
UAUGGAUAUAAAAAUAUAAUAUAUAUUUUUUUAUAUAUAUAUAUAUAUAUUUAAAAAAUAAUCUCCCCAGAAAGUACUAUAAAAUGACAAGUUUGGAGCUUUUAUUUAAUUUUUAGUCGACCCUGGCUUGCUUCUUCCGGCUGAGUUCGUCUGUAGGACCAAGGGGCUCUAGCCCCACCAGCCCAAUGCAAUGUGUAAUGGACUGGAAACAUUGAAAUGCGCAUGCUCAGAGUGUUUCUCUGUUGAAGUCAUGGACAUAUUGGUUGAAGUGAACGGAGAUUAUUUUUCUUCCUGGUGGGGCCAUGGACAUAUUAUAGUGGUGGGGCUAGCCGCUAGCCCAAUAUGUCCAUGUGUGACCCCUUAUGUUUUUUUUCAUGCCGACCAAUAAAAAUCAACAGUGUUACCCCUUAUGUUUUUUUUCAUGACGACCGAUAAAAAACAACAGUCUUACCCCUUGUGUUGUUUUUCAUGACGACUGAUAAAAAACGACAGUGUUACCCCAUAUGGUUUUUU